Molecule: ribosomal RNA, 270 nt
Filed under: uncultured bacterium
Lineage: Bacteria
Description: partial 16S ribosomal RNA
Rfam family: Bacterial small subunit ribosomal RNA
Source: RNAcentral
AUUGAACGCUGGCGGCAUGCCUUACACAUGCAAGUCGAACGGCAGCGCGGGAGCAAUCCUGGCGGCGAGUGGCGAACGGGUGAGUAAUAUAUCGGAACGUGCCCUGUAGCGGGGGAUAACCUAUCGAAAGAUGGACUAAUACCGCAUACGCUCUACGGAGGAAAGCGGGGGUCGCAAGACCUCGCACUAUAGGAGCGGCCGAUAUCGGAUUAGCUAGUUGGCGGGGUAAAAGCCCACCAAGGCGACGAUCCGUAGCUGGUCUGAGAGGAU